RNAcentral lists this small nuclear RNA (168 nucleotides) under Notamacropus eugenii (tammar wallaby). RNAcentral's name for it is "U1 spliceosomal RNA (ENSMEUG00000018299.1)". The record is from RNAcentral. Lineage: Eukaryota; Metazoa; Chordata; Mammalia; Diprotodontia; Macropodidae.
AUACUUACCUGACAAUGAAAAAAACUACCUUUAAAAUCAAGAUAUUUUUUCCAGAGCAGCACUCAGCAAUUGAGCCUCACUCCAGCGGUGCUGACCUUUGUGAUUUACCUACAUGCAGGAAACUCAACUAAAAAAAUUCUGAUAGUGGGAGCUGGGUUUGCAUUUUUA